GAUGAACGCUGGCGGCGUGCCUAAUACAUGCAAGUCGAGCGAACGGACGAGAAGCUUGCUUCUCUGAUGUUAGCGGCGGACGGGUGAGUAACACGUGGAUAACCUACCUAUAAGACUGGGAUAACUUCGGGAAACCGGAGCUAAUACCGGAUAAUAUUUUGAACCGCAUGGUUCAAAAGUGAAAGACGGUCUUGCUGUCACUUAUAGAUGGAUCCGCGCUGCAUUAGCUAGUUGGUAAGGUAACGGCUUACCAAGGCAACGAUGCAUAGCCGACCUGAGAGGGUGAUCGGCCACACUGGAACUGAGACACGGUCCAGACUCCUACGGGAGGCAGCAGUAGGGAAUCUUCCGCAAUGGGCGAAAGCCUGACGGAGCAACGCCGCGUGAGUGAUGAAGGUCUUCGGAUCGUAAAACUCUGUUAUUAGGGAAGAACAUAUGUGUAAGUAACUGUGCACAUCUUGACGGUACCUAAUCAGAAAGCCACGGCUAACUACGUGCCAGCAGCCGCGGUAAUACGUAGGUGGCAAGCGUUAUCCGGAAUUAUUGGGCGUAAGCGCGCGUAGGCGGUUUUUUAAGUCUGAUGUGAAAGCCCACGGCUCAACCGUGGAGGGUCAUUGGAAACUGGAAAACUUGAGUGCAGAAGAGGAAAGUGGAAUUCCAUGUGUAGCGGUGAAAUGCGCAGAGAUAUGGAGGAACACCAGUGGCGAAGGCGACUUUCUGGUCUGUAACUGACGCUGAUGUGCGAAAGCGUGGGGAUCAAACAGGAUUAGAUACCCUGGUAGUCCACGCCGUAAACGAUGAGUGCUAAGUGUUAGGGGGUUUCCGCCCCUUAGUGCUGCAGCUAACGCAUUAAGCACUCCGCCUGGGGAGUACGACCGCAAGGUUGAAACUCAAAGGAAUUGACGGGGACCCGCACAAGCGGUGGAGCAUGUGGUUUAAUUUGAAGCAACGCGAAGAACCUUACCAAAUCUUGACAUCCUUUGACAACUCUAGAGAUAGAGCUUUCCCCUUCGGGGGACAAAGUGACAGGUGGUGCAUGGUUGUCGUCAGCUCGUGUCGUGAGAUGUUGGGUUAAGUCCCGCAACGAGCGCAACCCUUAAGCUUAGUUGCCAUCAUUAAGUUGGGCACUCUAAGUUGACUGCCGGUGACAAACCGGAGGAAGGUGGGGAUGACGUCAAAUCAUCAUGCCCCUUAUGAUUUGGGCUACACACGUGCUACAAUGGACAAUACAAAGGGCAGCGAAACCGCGAGGUCAAGCAAAUCCCAUAAAGUUGUUCUCAGUUCGGAUUGUAGUCUGCAACUCGACUACAUGAAGCUGGAAUCGCUAGUAAUCGUAGAUCAGCAUGCUACGGUGAAUACGUUCCCGGGUCU
Molecule: ribosomal RNA, 1371 nt
Filed under: uncultured bacterium
Lineage: Bacteria
Description: bacterial SSU rRNA
Rfam family: Bacterial small subunit ribosomal RNA
Source: RNAcentral